This 5609-nucleotide unclassified non-coding RNA is filed under the name Harpegnathos saltator (Jerdon's jumping ant). RNAcentral describes it as "protein glass, transcript variant X1". Lineage: Eukaryota; Metazoa; Arthropoda; Insecta; Hymenoptera; Formicidae. The record is from RNAcentral.
CCUUGCUUGUCACGAGCGGCGUCGCGCAAAUUAUCUCACCACCCAAUAGAUUCAUACGAAUGACCGAGACGACAGUCCCGUUGAGGAAGAGCCCAAUUAAUUCUCAUUCACUUAGCAGCGCGAUGCGACUCUUGAAUCUCUGUCGUUUACCUGCCGUUCACCUUGCGCAGCGCGCGAAAAAGGCGACCAUCGAUGGCGAGCCGCUGCGAGCGGUGAAGCUGUGCGCCGCGCGGUUACCAGGACGACGGGAGCGCGGAGGGUUGGACCAGCGGUGUGCGUCUCUCCAUAGGGAGAGGCGGCCGAGAUCCGGCCGCCGCCGCCGAGGGUUGCGCGAAGAGGGACGCACGGGGGACAGGGGUGUAUCCGGGGGUGGCUGUCGUCGGGAAUUUCGCAGAGAUGGAGUUUCUGCAGAAUCAUCACGCGGUCAACACCUCCGAGCCGCCGUACACCCUCGGCACAGGUUCGGUGGGUAGCAUCGAGGCGACGAUCCCGUCCGGGCUGUGCACGAGCGGCGGUCCAACGACGCUGAGCGUGCUCUCCGGCGACGAGGUCGCGUUAACUGCCGACGGCGGUAGCCAGCAGAACGAGGAGGCGGCGGCGGCUGCGGCGGUGGCGGCGGCGGCGGCCCUCGGCGCUCUGCAGGGCACGCUGCGUCUUCAGGAUCUGCAGGACGGCUCGCCGGCGGAUGACAUCGAGCAGCAGCAUCAGCAGCUCUCGAGUGCCGGUCAGGGCCAAGUGAGCGAGUUCGGCGCGAGUUUCUGGGUCGACGACAUGGCGGGCUUUCCGUUGCCCCCGCUUGACCUCGAUCCGCUGCCGCCUGGCCUCUUCAGCCCGUGUUCCGGCACGUACAACUGGGGCUGCACUCGCGGCGAAUGCGUGCCGAGGGGCGCGAGCAACGGCCCGAACGGCGAGGGUGUCGCCGACGUCCUGCUGUCGCUCAAGCACGCGGUGGUGCAUCCUGGCAGCCCCACGGCGGGGUAUUACUCCACCGGCCCGUCCGCCACCACUGCACAUCACUAUUCGCCGCAGGACUAUGUGCAGAAUUUGGGACCCGGCUCGGUGCCGCCGGUCGGCGCCCAUUAUGGCGCCGCGCCGGCUAUGUCCGUCAACGUCUCCAUGAACAUGACGAUGAACAUGAACAUGCACUCCGGGUACGAGCAGAGCUAUUCGUCGGCAUGGGGCGUGGAGCCACUUUUGAGUCCCGCCCCGCAGUACAAUCCGGUGGAGGCGGCAGCGCAGACGAGGGUGAAUUCGGCCGCGCCGGCCGCCGCCAAUAGCUUGAUCGCCGGUGGCGGCGGCGGCGGCGGCGGCGGCCACCCCCAUUCGCACCCCCAGCCACAUCAUCGGCUACAGCUCGCCGGUGGUGAGCACGCGAUCUGCGUCGGUACCGCUGGCCCGCCGGCGGUCACAGCAGGCAUCAACCCCGUAGGCAGCGGCGAGGAUAACGGCAGGCCGAACCUCUGCAGGAUAUGCGGCAAAUCCUACGCUAGGCCGAGCACCCUCAAGACUCACCUGCGCACGCACUCCGGCGAGAAGCCGUUCAGAUGUCACGCGUGCUCGAAAGCAUUUAGCCAGGCGGCGAAUCUGACGGCGCACGCGAGGACACACUCAGGCGAAAAGCCGUUCCGAUGUCCAGUCUGCGACCGGAGAUUCUCGCAGAGCAGCUCAGUCACUACGCAUAUGAGGACGCAUUCGGGCGAACGACCGUACAGGUGUCGAUUUUGCAAGAAGGCGUUCUCCGACAGCUCGACCCUCACCAAGCACCUGCGAAUUCACUCCGGUGAGAAACCGUACCAGUGUAAGCUGUGUCUGCUUAGAUUUAGUCAAAGCGGUAAUCUCAAUAGGCACAUGAGAGUCCACGGCGGUUCCAUGACGUGACACAGUCCGGUACCGGCGCUGGCACAGUCCGGCAGUGUGACCACGACGAUACUCGAUGACAACGGCGGCGCGGCGCGUCACCUGCCCAGGUGCUGUCGAAUACCUGUGAUCCGAUUAGGCAUCAACUCGCCGGAAAAAUAACGCGACGCGUCGAGCACGCAAGCGGACUCGCGGACUCGCGAGCGUCAAAUGGCCGGUGUAAUAAUUCGAUUGUCGUUACACCGUGUGGCACGUCACCGUUGUAAUUCGAUGCGGGUGUAUUCUUUAAAUUUCUCGGAGCAAGACUUCACUCGAGUUGCCGAGUGAGACACGCCCGAGUUCGAACGAUUUUUUAUUCGUGAGUACAAGUGAAUUUUCUAUUCUGGGCCGUCGAAUGAGAGUAUCCUUCACUCGAGAUUCAACAUAGCGAAUCCGAUGGAUUCCGUCGUUUUAUAAAUUCAAUCGAGCCGACAGAGAGGCACGUGUUUCUGCGGAAUUGGAAACCAUUCUAAGCUCGAGUGAAAAAAUUCACUUUCGCACUUUCGCAAAAGGAGAGGUGCUGCUGCUGUACCGACAGAAUGAAAUUUCACUCUACAAUUUUCAUCCUACUCCGUCGUUAAAUUCAUCACUGCUAUUUCAUUCUAUUGAGUUGUUCGGAAAGUAAUUUCGGUUUUUUGCAUGAAAAUGAAAGACGAUAUUUCUAAUAGAAAGAAAAGUUUUAUUCUGUUAAGCAUUGACCAUUUUGUUUUAAUACCUUUUGCCAUCCCUGAGUUAAUAACAUGACAAUUAAAUAUAAGCACAGCUCUCGAAGAUAACAUACACACACACAAAUCAAGAUAAAUUGAUGAAUUAGGCAAAUGAGAGCUAACGCCGGUGACAAAGCGCAAAUAAUAAUAAUACUAAUAACACUAAUAAUAACGCCGGUGACAGGCACAAAUGCAAAGUAUUUAUUGAAAUUAAUCACUUGGUAUUGAGCGUUGCGAGAACACGCCGUGUAUUAUUAUUAUAUCUUGAUCGGAUGUUGAACACUUAGAUGGAAAGUGUGACUUUUUCGUAAUUUUCACACUUGCGGUUUGAAUCUUUGCAUCUAGAUUUAGUGAUUGCUAAAGACAUUGGAUUUUUCUUUGCGACCUUUUAAAUACGACUUUUUUUCGUGAUUUUUAAUAUUAAUGGAGUUACUUACACUGAGGAGGGUAUUAAUUUCAAUAAAUACUUAACGUUUGGGCCUGUCCACCGGCGUUAUUAUUAAUGUUAUUAGUAUUAUUAUUAUUUGCGCUUUGUCACCGGCGUUAGGUCUGAUUUGCUUAAUUUUCAGUUUACCUUGAUUUGUAAUAACAUGACUCCACGCUCAUAAAACUUCUGGUCUUUAUUGGCAAGAAAUUGAAUUAAGUGAUUUUUCACACCUUCAUUUGAAUCGAAAUUUUCACUAUCCAAAGAAUUUUGCAGUGACUGAAACAAGCGAUAAUCGAAUGGUGUUAGAUCAGGUGAAUAUGAUGGAUGCGGUAACAAAUCCCAUCCAAGCGCUAACUGGCUUCUGGCGAGUCAUUAAACUUGUGUGAGGUCUUGUCAUAAUGAAACACAAUACCUUUUCCGCUCGCCAAUUCUGGUCUCUUCUGCUUGAGGGAAUCAUUCAAUUUGUCCAACUGAUGACAAUAUACAUUCGAAUCGAUCGUUUGGUUGUUUGGUAGCAGCUCAAAAAAAAACCAUUCCUUUCCUUUCCAAUCCCACCGAACAGAGAGCAUCACCUUCUUUUGAUAGAUAUCAGCUUUCGGUGUGCUUUGAACUGGUUCGUCACAUCUGCUCCAUGAUCGUUUGCGUUUAAUAUUGUUGUACACAAUUCAUUUUUCAUCUCCAGUUAUGAGUCGCUUCAGUAACGGAUCGUUUUCCUGACGUUUCAACAGUAAAUCGCAGAUGGUAAUGCGACGAAUCAAAUAUCUUUCUAUGAGAACCUGUGGAAUCCAAAUAUCGAGCUUCGAAACGAAACCAUGUUGUUUCAAAUGCUCACGCAUGGUCGAAUUCGAUAAAUUCAAUCUCUCAGCAAUUUCUCAUGUUGUUAAAUGACGAUUUGCGUCCAUCAAUGCUUUAUUUGAUCUUCAUCAGUCUCAACUGGCCACUUCCAGAACGUGGUGCAUCUUCGAGGUCGAAAUUCCCAGAACAAAAUUUCGAAAAUCAAUUCUGACAUUGGCGUUCAGUCAACACAUCCUCUCCAUACACGGCACACAAUUUUUUUCUUGUUUGCGCUGCAAUUUUGCCUUUAUGAUAAUAAAAAAGCAAAAUAUAACGAAAAUGCUCAUAUUACUUUUCCAUUUUUGAUAUGACGCCAAGCAAAAUCAACUUGACAGAUUCCAAAACAACUGUUUUCAAAUGAGGCUUGAAAUGUGUGUUGCAAAAAUGUAAAAUGUUUUUCUGGUUUAGAAUGAGAUUAACUGCUUAAAAAGGCGACUAACACUAUCUAUUUGAAAAAACCGAAAUUAUUUUCCGAACAACCCAAUAAUCGAAGUAGAGCAUUUCACUCGAAUUUGAGUGAUUUUUCACUCAAAUGGAAUGAAUUUUGCACUCUGAAGUCGAAUGAAUAUUUUCUUGAAAUUCAACAGUGAAUCUGAUGUAUUUCAUCGUUUUACAAGAACAAAUUCAGCCCAAUCGAUUGAAACACGCAGUUAGAAUCUAUUAUAAGUUCGAGUGAAACAUUCACUUUUAUACGAAAGUAAAGAAAUGCUGUAUCGAAAAGACGGAGCUCACUCAAAAUGUAAAGUAAGUUAUUCGGAUUCAGGUGAUUUUUCAUUCAUGCAAAAUACUCUAAAUCGUCCAGUGAAUGUCUUCUGAAAAUUGAAUGGCAAAUCUGAUGUAUUCCAUUGUUUUACAGGAACUUUACUUGAAUCGGUCGAAAUGUGCACUCGCGCGAAGUUAGAGUCCACUCUAAGCUGGAGUGACACGAUCAUUUUUACGCGAGAAGAAAAAGAGUGCUGUAGUGUCGACAGAAUCGGUCAAUGACGUCAUAAUGGCAGUAAAUCUUGAUUUAAUGACGAUUAUACUGCUGCUGACGAAUUCUGUUGAUACGAUAGCAUCCUUCUCCCACACACAGUUCCGAGGUCAGUAUUUUCACUACGCUUCGAGUGAAUUUCUAUUUCGUUUUCAUUCUAAGGAAUUUAGAGAGUACCUGGACGCAUUCGUGUCCGGAAGGAGGAAAGAAGAUCAUACGUUCGGAAUCGUCAUAUUUCGAACAACGCGGCUGCGAGAACGAGAACGAGAGUCGACAAACAUUUGUGUAAUUUGAUUGUGUUGUUGUAAUUGGUAUGGUUAUCGCGAUUUAAUUUAUUAUAAUUCUCUUUGGAUGGCUAUGGCUAAGGAAGGAUCUCGCGCUAAGGAGCCGUCAUAUUCUUCCGACGUCGCGAAGAAAUGUGCGGGAGCUGCGCACUUCCGCACGCACCCACGACAUCGAAAUCAGAACUCAGCGAGUUGUACUGUAAAUUAAGACAGAAAUUAUGUGAGACGCAAAUUAUAUUAUAAAUUAUACUGAAAAAAAUAUAUGUAUAUUACACCCCAGAAAGCAACGCGCAUGUUUGACGGACGUCUGCGUGCGCGCGAGACGACUUUCUAAAAAUAUCUAAAAUAUGAUGCAUCUUCAAAAGAGACAUCUCCAAGAUUCUUUUUCAAGAAUUCAUUAUUAAAAUUAUAUUGUUAUUUAUUUUGCUUGAAUUAUUUUCGAGCUUAUCUUGUUCGGAUGUCCAUUUUUUGAUAGAACUUCAUCAUGU